Molecule: long non-coding RNA, 1361 nt
Organism: Oncorhynchus gorbuscha (pink salmon)
Lineage: Eukaryota; Metazoa; Chordata; Actinopteri; Salmoniformes; Salmonidae
Exons: 3
Source: RefSeq, a predicted model, not a curated record
UUUACGCCCGGGAGGCAGGAGGGGUUCCAAAACGAAUGCCAGAUUAAUCGAGUCCCCUCUAUGAAGGGAAGCGAAGUAGGAGGUAUACUAUAUAUAUAUAUAAAAGAGAUAUACAUGAAAAAUCAUUAUUGGACACCAUUUUUCUAUAGUGAACCGGUUUCACAAGCUUUCCACGCGCUAUUUAACAAUCAUUUAAAAUUUAAAGAUAGGCUCUCGUUGAAUAACCGUUUAUGUGCACCACUCAGAAUGGACGGACAAGCACACAACUUUUCUGUUGCUGAUGAAAAUCGCCGAAAUGUGGGAAAGAAACAUAAAACAAAACUAAUAGAAUGGAAAGACAGGCGAAGGAAGAUCUUAUGGGAUGCUGGAAAACCCUAUACAAAUCGUAAGGGUCAAGAAGAAACUGGGAAAAGCUGUCCAAAAUAGGGAUUGCACACCGAGGGCCCAUUGAGGUGGCAAGCUGCAUAUUGAAGUGGGUGAAGACAAAAUUCAAGCCACUCACCAAUCCAGAGGUGCGCAAGUUGAUCAUCUUCAGUGACAGAUGCCGUGGGCAGAAUAACAACUGGCGGAUGCUCAAUCUGAUGUCGAUGCGCGUCUCUAUGGGUUACUUUACCCAAGUUGAGCAGAAGUUCAUGGUCUCUGGUCAUUCUUUUCAUCCUCGUGAUCGAUCUUUUGCCACCAUCGAGAAGAGGCGCAAGUUGUCAGUCCUUCAUACACCUGAUGAUGUUUCAAAGAUGAUACUUGAAGCACAACCAGGAAAACCAUUCAAGGUUUUGAGGAUGAAAUGUGAAGACUUCAGGCACCUCCCAGAUUCUGUCCUCAAGCGACCAGCUGGACUACAGAUCACCUCAGUGAGGUGGUUAAAAGUCACAGUUGAGGAUCCUUGGAAUCUGUACGCCAGACAGAGCCACAGUCUAUUUGAGGGAUGGAAAUCGUGGCUGAUCUCCAAACCACAACAUCUCAACCUCCCUAUUUUGCAAGCCACUACCCUAGAACAUAUGAGAGUCCUCUGCCCAUCAAAAAAAAACACGUACCAAGACCUGAUGACCAUGACUACUUGCCAGCUGCUGUACGCUCUUUUUAUAAAUCACUGCAGAGUGAAUAAUUUGUUGUUAAACCAAUCUACAUAAUGAACUGUUUUUUUCUGUGAGUUUAUGAUCCCCUGAACCUGUAUAGUAUGUUGAAUCUGAAUACAUUUCAGAAGACAUGUCAACCCUAUUAGGAAAUUAAAUGUAUAGUAGGUGUUUUCUAUGUGAAUCAAUUUGUGUAUGAUUUGAACCAGCACAAUGUAUUGAAUUAAUUUCAUUUUAAGAUGUUCCUAGUGUAGAAAAUGUUAUGUACAAUGCGUUCUGUUGAGAAUU